UCCUACAUCCAGGAUUCCAAAAAAUGAUACAGAGAAGAUUAGUAUGGCCACUGAGCAAGAAUGACAUGCCAAUACAUGAAGCAGUCUAUAGUUUU
Small nuclear RNA from Bos taurus (domestic cattle), 95 nucleotides. NCBI's taxonomy places the organism in Eukaryota, Metazoa, Chordata, Mammalia, Artiodactyla, Bovidae. The record is from Ensembl.